AUACGAAAGGUGCAAGCGUUGUUCGGAUUUACUGGGCGUAAAGAGAGUGUAGGUGGUUUAUUAAGUCGGAUGUGAAAUCCCGGGGCUCAACCUCGGAACUGCAUUCGAUACUGAUAGGCUAGAGUUUGGGAGGGGUAAGCGGAAUUCCGUGUGUAGCAGUGAAAUGCGUAGAUAUACGGGGGAACACCUGAGGCGAAGGCGGCUUACUGGACCAAUACUGACACUGAGACUCGAAAGCGUGGGUAGCAAACAGGAUUAGAAACCCUAGUAGUCC
RNAcentral lists this ribosomal RNA (274 nucleotides) under uncultured bacterium. RNAcentral describes it as "partial 16S ribosomal RNA". It matches the Rfam family "Bacterial small subunit ribosomal RNA", at positions 523 to 796 of the family's 1533-position model. The record is from RNAcentral.